UGAGGGAAUAUUGGGUCAAUGGACGGAAGUCUGAACCAGCCAUGCCGCGUGAAGGAAUAAGGCCCUAUGGGUCGUAAACUUCUUUUGUGGUGGAGCAAUAAGAUCUACGCGUAGGUCGAUGAGAGUACAUCACGAAUAAGCAUCGGCUAACUCCGUGCCAGCAGCCGCGGUAAUACGGAGGAUGCAAGCGUUAUCCGGAAUUAUUGGGUUUAAAGGGUGCGUAGGCGGAUGGGUAAGUCAGCGGUGAAAUGUCCCGGCUCAACCGGGGAACUGCCAUUGAUACUGCCUGUCUUGAAUGCGGAUGCCGUGGGAGGAAUGUGUAGUGUAGCGGUGAAAUGCAUAGAUAUUACACAGAACACCGAUUGCGAAGGCAUCUCACGAAUCCGUUAUUGACGCUGAGGCACGAAAGCGU
Molecule: ribosomal RNA, 412 nt
Filed under: uncultured bacterium
Lineage: Bacteria
Description: bacterial SSU rRNA
Rfam family: Bacterial small subunit ribosomal RNA
Source: RNAcentral